RNAcentral lists this ribosomal RNA (342 nucleotides) under Orthonecroscia cf. fuscoannulata SB0429. Its description in RNAcentral is "partial small subunit ribosomal RNA". The record is from RNAcentral. Lineage: Eukaryota; Metazoa; Arthropoda; Insecta; Phasmatodea; Lonchodidae.
UAGUUAUUUUCUUUAAACUUAAAGAAUUUGGCGGUAUUUUAGUCUAUUUAGAGGAAUUUGCCCCUUAAUCGAUAAUCCUCGUUUUAUCUUGCUUGAUUUUGUUUCCAGUAUGUAUAUCGUUGUUAUAAGUUUAUUUUUUUAGGAUAAAAAUUUACUUUAUAUAUUAUUAUAUUUUAUUUCAAAUCAAGGUGCAGUUAAUAAUUAAGUGGAGGUUAAUUACAAUAUUUUUGAAUAAACGGAUUUAAUUUUAAAAUUUUAAUGAAGGUGGAUUUAAUAGUAAUUUUAAUAAUAGUGUUAUUUUGAUUUUAGCUCUGAAAUAAGUACACAUCGCCCGUCGCUCUA